CCUACGGGUGGCUGGAUCGCUGGUUUACCCCUUAUGCUGACCUUGACAGCGAAGCAAACCACAACUCCCCAGGGUGCAAACACAACGGUAUAUAUCGUUUCUAUUUGUUACCGUGGAAACAUGGAUGCUUUACGCCAAGAGGUAAUCAAACUCCUCACGGUUGAAAAACAGUUCCUGCUUUCUAUGGAUGCGGUUGAAGAUAUCGCCCUUAAAGCUCUUUCUGAGUCUAACGACAUUAUUGACGUUGGCGGUGAUGAAUCGGAUUUUGUUGCCGAGUUUUUCCCUGAUGCAAUGGGCCAGGAAACCAAGGGUAACGGCGGUACCCAGGGCGGUACCCAGGGCGGUACCCAGAAAGAUACCCAAGAAGAAGGCCAGGAUGAUACCCCAGUAGUC
This 393-nucleotide ribosomal RNA is filed under the name uncultured prokaryote. RNAcentral describes it as "partial 16S ribosomal RNA". The record is from RNAcentral.